Molecule: ribosomal RNA, 465 nt
Filed under: uncultured bacterium
Lineage: Bacteria
Description: partial 16S ribosomal RNA
Rfam family: Bacterial small subunit ribosomal RNA
Source: RNAcentral
GACGAACGCUGGCGGCGUGCUUAACACAUGCAAGUCGAACGGAAAGGCCCUGCUUGCAGGGUACUCGAGUGGCGAACGGGUGAGUAACACGUGGGUGAUCUGCCCUUCACUUCGGGAUAAGCCUGGGAAACUGGGUCUAAUACCCGAUAUGACCUUCCAUGUAGUGUGGGGGGUGGAAAGAUUUAUCGGUGUGGGAUGAGCCCGCGGCCUAUCAGCUUGUUGGUGGGGUAAUGGCCUACCAAGGCGUCGACGGGUAGCCGGCCUGAGAGGGUGGACGGCCACAUUGGGACUGAGAUACGGCCCAGACUCCUACGGGAGGCAGCAGUGGGGAAUAUUGCACAAUGGGCGGAAGCCUUAUGCAGCGACGCCGCGUGGGGGAUGACGGCCUUCGGGUUGUAAACCUCUUUCGACAGGGACGAAGCUUCGGUGACGGUACCUGUAUAAGAAGCACCGGCUAACUACGUG